CACUAUGCCUAGCCCUAAACAUUGAUAGCUAGCUACAUUUCUAUCCGCCUGGGAACUACGAGCAUAAGCUUAAAACCCAAAGGACUUGGCGGUGCUUUAGAUCCACCUAGAGGAGCCUGUUCUAGAACCGAUAACCCCCGUUAAACCUCACCUUUUCUUGUUUAACCCGCCUAUAUACCACCGUCGUCAGCUUAUCCUGUGAAGGACCAUUAAUAAACAAAAUUGGCACAGCCCAAAACGUCAGGUCGAGGUGUAGCGUACGAAAAGGGAAGAAAUGGGCUACAUUCUCUAUACUAGAGAACACGAAUGAUAUACUGAAAGACAUAUCUGAAGGAGGAUUUAGUAGUAAGAAGAAAAUAGAGUGUUCUUCUGAAACUGGCCCUGAAGCGCGCACACACCGCCCGUCACUCUCCCCAAGCUCCAUUAUAUUUUUAAAUAAAACCCUCAUACUGCAAAGGGGAGGCAAGUCGUAA
This 473-nucleotide ribosomal RNA is filed under the name Cantherhines pardalis (honeycomb filefish). Its description in RNAcentral is "partial small subunit ribosomal RNA". It matches the Rfam family "Bacterial small subunit ribosomal RNA", at positions 788 to 1491 of the family's 1533-position model. The record is from RNAcentral. Lineage: Eukaryota; Metazoa; Chordata; Actinopteri; Tetraodontiformes; Monacanthidae.